AUGAUGGUGGUAGUAGUGGUAAUGAUGAUGGUGGUUGUAGUAGUGGUAAUGGGAAUGGUGGUGGUAGUAGUAGUGGUAAUGAUGGUGGUAGUAGUAGUGGUAAUGAUGAUGGUGGUGGUAGUAGUGGUAAUGAUGAUGGUGGUAGUAGUGGUAAUGAUGAUGAUGGUAGUAGUAGUGGUAAUGAUGAUGAUGGUAGUGGUGGUAAUGAUGAUGGUGGUAGUAGUGGUAUUGAUGAUGGUGGUAGUAGUGGUAAUGAUGAUGGUGGUAGUAGUAGUGGUAAUGAUGAUGGUGGUGGUAGUAGUGGUAAUAAUGAUGGUGGUAGUAGUAGUGGUAAUGAUGAUGAUGGUAGUAGUAGUGGUAAUGAUGGUGGUGGUAGUAGUGGUAAUGAUGAUGGUGGUAGUAGUGGUAAUGAUGAUGGUGGUGGUAGUAGUGGUAAUAAUGAUGGUGGUAGUAGUAGUGGUAAUGAUGAUGAUGGUAGUAGUAGUGGUAAUGAUGGUGGUGGUAGUAGUAGUGGUAAUGAUGAUGGUGGUAGUAGUAGUGGUAAUGAUGAUGAUGGUAGUAGUAGUGGUAAUGAUGAUGAUGGUGGUAGUAGUGGUAAUGAUGAUGGUGGUAGUAGUGGUAAUGAUGAUGGUUUUAGUAGUAGUGGUAAUGAUGAUGGUGGUGGUAGUAGUGGUAAUGAUGAUGGUGGUAGUAGUG
Long non-coding RNA from Oncorhynchus tshawytscha (Chinook salmon), 696 nucleotides. The record is from Ensembl. NCBI's taxonomy places the organism in Eukaryota, Metazoa, Chordata, Actinopteri, Salmoniformes, Salmonidae.